AAUCAACGCUGGCGGCGUGCCUCAGACAUGCAAGUCGAACGAUUAAAGCUCUCUUCGGAGAGUGCAUAGAGUGGCGCACGGGUGAGUAACACGUAAGUAAUCUACCUUCGAGUGGGGGAAUAACGUCCGGAAACGGACGCUAAUACCGCAUAAUGCAGCGGCAUCGUAAGAUGACAGUUGUUAAAGAUUUAUCGCUUGAAGAGGAGCUUGCGGCAGAUUAGCUAGUUGGUAAGGUAAUGGCUUACCAAGGCUACGAUCUGUAACCGGUCUUAGAGGACGGUCGGUCACACUGACACUGUAUAACGGGUCAGACUCCUACGGAGGCAGCAGUCGGGAAUUUUGGGCAAUGGGCGAAAGCCUGACCCAGCAACGCCGCGUGAAGGAUGAAGUAUUUCGGUAUGUAAACUUCGAAAGAAUAGGAAGAAUAAAUGACGGUACUAUUUAUAAGGUCCGGCUAACUACGUGCCAGCAGCCGCGGUAAU
This 482-nucleotide ribosomal RNA is filed under the name uncultured bacterium. RNAcentral's name for it is "bacterial SSU rRNA". It matches the Rfam family "Bacterial small subunit ribosomal RNA", at positions 32 to 524 of the family's 1533-position model. The record is from RNAcentral.